UACGGAGGGGGGCUAGCGUUGUUCGGAAUUACUGGGCGUAAAGCGUACGUAGGCGGUUUUGUAAGUUAGAGGUGAAAGCCCGGAGCUCAACUUCGGAAUUGCCUUUAAGACUGCAUCACUUGAACGUCGGAGAGGUGAGUGGAAUUCCGAGUGUAGAGGUGAAAUUCGUAGAUAUUCGGAAGAACACCAGUGGCGAAAGGCGGCUCACUGGACGACUGUUGACGCUGAGGUACGAAAGCGUGGGGAGCAAACAGGG
RNAcentral lists this ribosomal RNA (256 nucleotides) under uncultured bacterium. Its description in RNAcentral is "partial 16S ribosomal RNA". It matches the Rfam family "Bacterial small subunit ribosomal RNA", at positions 524 to 777 of the family's 1533-position model. The record is from RNAcentral.